This 253-nucleotide ribosomal RNA is filed under the name uncultured bacterium. RNAcentral's name for it is "partial 16S ribosomal RNA". It matches the Rfam family "Bacterial small subunit ribosomal RNA", at positions 524 to 776 of the family's 1533-position model. The record is from RNAcentral.
GACGUACCACCCAAACGUUAUUCGGAUUCACUGGGCUUACAGAGUCCGUAGGCGGUCGAGAAAGUUGGAUGUGAAAUACCUCAGCUCAACUGAGGAAUUGCGUUCAAAACUACUUGGCUAGAGAGAUACAGAGGUGAGCGGAACUGAUGGUGGAGCGGUGAAAUGCGCAGAUAUCAGGAAGAACACCUAUGGCGAAAGCAGCUCUCUGGGACGGUACUGACGCUGAGACGCGAAAGCGUGGGGAGCGAACAGG